Molecule: long non-coding RNA, 1953 nt
Organism: Esox lucius (northern pike)
Lineage: Eukaryota; Metazoa; Chordata; Actinopteri; Esociformes; Esocidae
Exons: 4
Source: RefSeq, a predicted model, not a curated record
AAGAGGGGAAAGGAGAGGUGGGGGCCAGGAUCCACAAGAGAGAAAGCGACUCAUAUAACGCGUGACCAAAGGCAGUGGGGGUGUUCAUUUCAAACCUCGAGGGUUGUGUUAUUUGAUGAAACGUGGAUUUCAACAGCAAAUGAGAAAAUGAAAACCCAGGACCCAUUUUUAUCUCGAUACCAUGUUCAAUGUAAUAACCAAACCCUUGGUUUUCACGAGCCCCCAACACCCCCCAUCUCUCUGCUACAAUCAGGUGCUUUUGUCGGAAUCAGACUUCCUGUGUAAUUGCAGCUCUCAUCCAAUAUUGAUCCAUGUGGGUCUAGUGCUAAUCAACAGCCCAGCAGCAACCUCCAUGCUAGGAGGGAGGUCAGGCAGACUAAAAGGGCAAGGUGUUACUACUUUACAACAGAAUCAUACAAAGCCCUGGGUAGAAGGGCACUACAAAGGGAAUAUGGUUCAAUUUGGGAUGCCGCCCAUCACUAGGAGGAUGAAUGAACUCCAUACAGGCUUAAGGCGGACUCUCUACCCUAUCCCUCUAGCAGAUAAGGAGACAUCACAGGCGUAUUGCUAGGGUCUCAGUCCAUUCAAUAAAUACUGGAUUUUCUUUAGGUUUAAUGGACCAACUCUGCCUUCAGUAGUGCUUGGAAUGAGGGUCAUUAACUCACAUUUGAGCUACAUCAAAUCUCAGAAGUUAAAUUGCCAGAUAUGUUUAAAAAGAUAACCAAUUUUGAAAAUGAUAGGGCGGUGAACGUUUUUGACUCCAGAAGAAACAAUCAGGACGUGGUACAGACACCGGAGCGACGUACCACAAAGCACGCUAGAACUGCUCAGGAUUUAAUAAAGCUAGCGAGUCCCGCACUCCAGUUCAGGCAUCAUCGGUGAAACGACUGAAUAUUGCUUGCCCAUCUGCAGCUAACUCUAGCUGGUUUGUAACUGUGCUUACUAGCUGAACGCCCAACUCUUUGAGACGACGCUGAAACAUCAAUCCACGGGCGAGUCAUCCCACUUCCCAUUUACAUUUUUGCCCGAAAUCAACAUGAAAGAAGUUAUCUUCCGAAUUCAGUAAGCUAUGCUGUGGAACAGCCUAUUUGAUGUGCAGCUUCUUUAAUUACGAAUCAUUAAUGCCAUCUUUGAUGUGCUUUCUCUGGCUUAUCAAUGCACAACCACCUUUCCCCCACUGCUAUAAAAUCAUUGUAUUAAGUCCUUCAACGGUUUUAGUGUGUGAACUUUAAAAUGCAACCUCUCAUUAUUAAUGUGUAACGAGUGUUAACAUUAUAUAUCGAAAAGGUCUAUCAAUAAAAUACGUAUAUAAGCUCUGAAAUGAAGCAGAUGACGACGCUGAUUGGAAAGGGAAGUCUUAUUUGCCUAGUAGACUGCUCAGUAAGCUGUAUGUUAACCUGCCCCGGAGCUGGUUGGAUCUAAAGGUCUGCUGUGGCAUUUAAAGGUUGGUAUCAAGGGACCUAACGCGUGCCAACAAAACAAUCCCAUAGCAAUACACCACCGCCAUCAGCCUUGACUCAUGCUGCCUAUGCCAAACCGGUACGACACAACGGGAUCUGGGAUUCGUAAAAAAAAUGAAAACAGGUCUUCUUCUCCAGUCACAGCCCCAGGGGAGCCUUCAUCUUUGGGGAUGCACAGUGAGACCUGAGAAGAAAACCGGAGAAAGAUGAGGGUCUCUAUCUCUUCCCCUGACAGCCAUGAUGAAUAAGGCUCAGGGCCAGGGAGAGCAGCGUCGUCUGAAGGGAAAUGGAGCUGAACCCAUCCAAAACCUCGGCACCCAAGGGUUUGAAUGAUGAGCAACUUCUUAACGUGAUGUUAAGAGACGCUUCCCACCUGUUUGUCACGCUGUCCAUUUUAGACUUAUUCUAUAAUGCCUCACCAUGGGUGGGAGUGACAGAGUAUCCAGUUCCAGGACUCUAGCUUUCAGCAUGACCUCCAACAGGCUCUGUGAAG